CAGACUGGCGGACCUUUUUUUUUUAGGGUCCACUAUUUUUCGGGACGGGCUGUACUCCGGUUCCCGGGACAGACACAGAAAUCGGACCCACGCGGAUUAGUAAAUAUAGUGUUACAAAUCUGACAUUGUCACCAAGGUAUUGAUGUCUCGGUAUUAAAUUUGUCACUAUACCGAUUGGUAUUAAAACUACACUGGUCCCUAAAAAUUAGCUAACGAUUUAGUUACUUCUCAGCUAUUACAAUGAAUACCGCUUGGUGUUAUUUUAGUACUAGGUUUCUAAGAGUGUGGGCAUCCAUGAAAUUCAAAUUUCCCGACAUAGUGCACUAUAAAUUUUAUGUAGCCCGUAGUGAACACUUCUCGAUACCACAAUGUGAGAAUUUGCAAUUUAAUAGGGCUCUUAAAAAAUGGCACACAUUUAACCCACCUGUGAAUAGUGCCGGCCCGAAUGGACCGAUACGGACAAGAUUACAAUUAUCUACAUUGCCAAAAUAGUUCAUCAGGUUCCACAAAGCCGCCAGCACACUUUUCAUACAUUCCGACGCCUACAUUGUACAUGUAGGAAAUUUAGUAUAUGCUUAUGUGUGUAGGUAAUUUUUCAUAUGUUUUAGAUUCAUUUUUUCCUUGAAACGUAAUGACCCAAUUAUCUAGGGUAUUUUCAUUGUAUGAAAUAAAUAAAUAUGUAAAUAAAUAUGUAAAUAAGUUAAUAAAUAAAUAACAUAACAUUAAUCAGACCAUAGCUCGCAAUGGACCAUGGUCCACUGGACCAAAUUGGUCCAUGAUGGACCAUGGACCAUGGACCACAAAAAAAUUGGUCCAUCGAUGGACCAUGGACCAUGGACCAUUUUUUAGGUGGUCCAUCGAUGGACCAUGGACCAUGGACCAAUUCUCAGAUGGUCCAUCGAUGGACCAUGGACCAUGGACCAAUUCUCAGAUGGUCCAUCGAUGGACCAUGGACCAUGGACCAUUUUUCAAGUGGUCCAUCGAUGGACCAUCGACCAUUAUUGCUUUCAUGAAAUAAGAACCAAAGUGAGAAGUGGUGGUGGUUUCGUUCCCGGCAAAUUCAGUAUUUGGGUUUGAAAAGCCAAAAACAAACUCGCAAAUCACACAUUCACUUGCCUCCCUUGCAAAUGUAAAACAUAUAUAAUUUACAGUUCAAGAAAGCUCACAGGGGCCCACUGCAAUGGAUUCGUCGAAAACCCGGAUGCGACCACAAGAGACCAAUACGGAUUUUCGUAGAACGGUUUUGAAAACGAAUCUACAACUGACACCGCUCCCUCCCCCGGACUACGCGUACCAAAUCACACAAGGAAUUGAGUCAUUGACGCUAGGUCCAAUUCCCGAGUUUAGGGAAUUUUCGACGAAUAUGGUCACGUGGGUGAAAGAUGGAAUUGAGAUGUAUCAAACCAUGAAUAAUCUUGGAUUGGGAAAUUUACCAGUCCUAGCAGUGGACUUUGAGUACCAUAUUGAAGAAAGUUAUGAUGGAUUUCUUGCGGUCGGGUCCUUAGCCUCACCGGAAACAACAUUAGUGUUUGAUUGUCUUACCGAUCGACGGAAGAAUUCACCCACAAUGCGAGACAUCAUUUCAAAUUUAAUGGAAAGUGAAGAAAGUCUCAAAGUUAUGUGUGGCUGCCAAAAUGACAUCCUGAGACUGAAAAAGGACUAUAAUUGCUUUCCGCGAUUGGUGCUGGAUAUUCAGGACCUUUUCAUCAUAUGGAGGAAUGCAGAUAUAAAUAAUUGCUUCCAGACUUGCCUCCCCGCAUUAAAAACUCUGGCAUCAGAGAGGGGCUAGAAUUCUUCCACAUCCGCGCUAAAGGAAUUUUUCAACAAGUAUGAUGCACCUGGACUCGCAUUUAUGAUGAAUGUCUUUAACUUUCGGGACAAGAAAAUGACAAACACAGAUUGGAGAAUUAGGGAUUUGACCCAACGGCAGCAAGCAUACGCAGCAAAAGAUGCCUAUUAUACAUUAAGAAUAUUUUACUCGUUGUAUGAUAAAUUGGGACUGGAUGGCGUUAAGAAAGCAGUGCUUAUCUCAUCCAAAAAGUUGAUCGUCAAUCCCUCACUGCGGAAGUUUGACGUAAAGAAGCCAUUGUCACACGAUGCAAUAACCGAUGCGAUUAUUGAUUGGAGAAAGCACUUGGCAUUAAAUCUUGACUGGCAACCCGAGCAAAUACUUCCGUUUGCUCAGAUUACAAAUCUCUCUGUUUGGCUAGGCAAGCAAGAGUUGACAGAAGUGGGGGCUGACAUCGUGCAAAGCAAAGUUGUAGCACUAGGAAUGAAAGCAAAUUAUAAAUCAGCAGACGCAAGGCUACUGCAGUUCCUGAAUCCAACUGAGAAAGACAAAAUGAAUACAAUCCAGUGUCGAAAUUGUGGAGAAAUUGGACACAUUGGAUUAAGUUGCCCGUUUUCACCAGAUAAAGAAAAGCUUAAGUAGGCCCGGACCCUUCCACAGAACAAAGCAAAUCACGAAGAAAGAAAUCGACAGAAAGCUUUGAAAUUUGGGCAAAACUAUGGUAUGACUGCUGAUGAGGUAUAUAAAUUGUGGGGAGAGCAAAAGAAAGCUAACCAAAAGGCAAAGGAAACUAAGAAAUUUCCUCAAGAUUAUCGGAUGGAUUCCUCAUCUACACUUUCCCCACCAGCGUAUCCCGAACCAAAGCAUAGCAAGGCAACUGUUAAGUCAUCAUUAGCUCCGUUAGCUGGCAUAAGACCAGGUGGCAUGUCUGAUAGCGACAGCAGUGAUGAUGAUUUCUUAAAAAAACCGACGACAUCAUGGAAAAAGCGUCGUUAGUUUUUGAAAGAGCUUUUUAUUCCUAGCCCGGGCUAGGAAUAACUUUCACUUUCACUGAAUUUAUAAAUUAGCUUCCGUUCUUUGUAAUGUAAUAUAUGAAAGUAUAUGUUAUAUAUUCUUGGGCUUUACAACAUUAAAUGAUUACAUCCAGCUUUAUUCUAAUUUGUGCAUGUAUAUUUUUUCAUACCUGGAUUCAUAUUAAUGAAGUCACAUGAAUUAAUCAUAUACAUAAUAUUCUCUCUCAUUAUUAUAAGAUUCUCAUUUUGAAUUAUAUUGUCUCAAUGUAUCCUUGAAAAUGUAUCACUCUUCCCAGUCCGGACUGGUGGGAUCAUUUGGUUUACAGGGGAGCGGAAUAUUUAUAUACCACACCAAUCCCACGCUGUCCACGCUUCUGCCAUUUGCACGAGCUCCUCUAGAUGGGCUGGGCUCCAGGUUCGCUCGUAUUAGACUUUUAUCUGACUUUAUUCCUGUUUUGAUAACCAUGGCUGAGUUAAAACAACCUAAAAUAUCAUUUGGAGAGGAUGCCGCCCCCAAAAGUCCAGAAAUACGACAUCCGAAAUGGGCAUCGUUACUAUUACCAUAUUUUGAAUUUAUUGAGAAGCAGUUUAAAAAAUCAGGACAGCGCAGUCGACUCUGGUAUAAGCUGCGAUGUAGAUCGUGCAGUACUAUUUACAGUGAUAAAGGUGCUAAUGCAUUUGCCGAUCAUUUAAAGAAGCAUAAGCAAGUUAACGAAAAUUAUCAGAAGGAUAUCAACGAAGCGAAAGCCCUUGAACAGGCAUCUACCAAGAAAUCCUCCGUUCGUGCUAGCAUCUUACCAAAACCGAAGUUCGUACAAGCGGUGGAGAAGUAUCCCCGUAAUGAUACGAAGCAAAUUAAAUUUAAAGAAAGUGUUUUGGAAUUCGUGGUGCGCGAUACGGCUGCAUUUUCAAUGGUUGAAGGAAAAGGCUUUCGAAAUAUGAUUUAUACCGCCGACCCGAAGCUAACCGUUCCAUGCUCCACCACAGUUCGGA
Folsomia candida is the source of this 3795-nucleotide RNA transcript. RefSeq lists it as uncharacterized. The record is from RefSeq and is a predicted model, not a curated record. The transcript is spliced from 7 exons. Lineage: Eukaryota; Metazoa; Arthropoda; Collembola; Entomobryomorpha; Isotomidae.